GCCUACUUCCUCUUCCACCGCUUCUUUUGCCUCAAAGACUGACCUCCAUUCACUCACCCAAAGGUCAAAAUCUACACUUUUCCAAUAGCUUCAGAGAGAUUGCUGUGAAACCCACCGACCUCGAAUUGAAUUCCUUGGUUACUUGCAGCUAUCUCUAGUGGUUGGAAUUGUUGAUUAUCGAGUGGGUAUUGGCAUUUUGAUUUGGGUUGCCGCUUGUAGCAGUGGAUUGGGGUUUUGUUAGCCGCUGAACUAAGGCUUGAGGAAAGACGUCCAUGAGUGGACGUGGUAGUGAGAUACCAGAAUUGUCUUGAGCAGAAAAUGUUGGAGCUUUGUUUUGCUUGUGAAGUGUGUGC
This is a long non-coding RNA of Rosa rugosa (rugosa rose), 353 nucleotides long. RefSeq lists it as uncharacterized. The record is from RefSeq and is a predicted model, not a curated record. The transcript has 3 exons. NCBI's taxonomy places the organism in Eukaryota, Viridiplantae, Streptophyta, Magnoliopsida, Rosales, Rosaceae.